Molecule: transfer RNA, 73 nt
Filed under: Acanthisitta chloris (rifleman)
Lineage: Eukaryota; Metazoa; Chordata; Aves; Passeriformes; Acanthisittidae
Description: tRNA-Glu
Source: RNAcentral
GUUCCUGUAGUUGAAAUUUAAACAACAAUGGCUUUUCAGGCCAUUGGUCUUGGGGAGGUGCCAAGUAGGAACU